Molecule: non-coding RNA, 2668 nt
Organism: Aegilops tauschii subsp. strangulata
Lineage: Eukaryota; Viridiplantae; Streptophyta; Magnoliopsida; Poales; Poaceae
Source: RefSeq, a predicted model, not a curated record
GAGACGUAUCACCCUCUUUCCUCUCUCCCCGCCCGCGCAGCUCUCUUCCCCACCGGCGCUGCCCUCCACUCACCUUCUGUUCUUUAAGCGGGGACGCCCCAGAUCGAGUCGAGCAAGUCAGCGGGGCAGCGACCAGAUCAGCCACGGCCACAUCUCGUCGAGAUGGGCCGCGCCGGGAGAGGUAGAUCGAGGCGGUGGGCACCGUGUGCGUCUUGUCUCCUGGGACGCCGCUACGACCCGAUCAGGCGAGGAGGCAAUCUCCGUGUGCGGCAACGAGGGCGGGGGCCGGUUGCGCGAGAGGGAUGGCGCCCCGUGUCUGCGCCCCAUAAGCUUGGACGGAGCUCCGACGAGGCCAUGUUGGUCUUGCAGAUGAGCUCCAAACGUGGCCAAUCCUCUGAAGAUUCAAUGGAAUCUGAUGUUAAUGCCUGCAGGCUACAGUUGUUGAUCACUCAGAGUGUAUUGGUGCCAAUGCUGCAUUUGGAGUUGGAGAGGCCCAGGCCACCUGCUGCAAGAGGCAAAUGGUCACCUACAGCCGCAGGAGAGGAUCACAGGUGUUCUUCCGGCAGUUUCAAUUUAGUCGGGCGGUUGCCAUCAUCGUGAGACUGCCGACUGGAGGAACUACAAUGGCUCUUUGUUCCAGCCAUAUCCGAUCCCUCGGGGGCUGGAGCUUUCCGGUCACCUAAAGAGCACGGUGCACGCGGCGUGCCGUUGGAGUCGGCCUGGACGGGGACACGGGCCACCAGUAUGUGCUCGUUGUCACACUCCUGGAACCCCUCAAGCAGCUCCUGCCCAUGCGUCAUGCAUGACGGCAUCUUAACAAUAUCGUUAGAUGUGAAUCGCAUCAAAAUCGGAAUCAGUGUGCGCGCUAAUGUGGCGUGUUAGCCCCUUUGCUACACUGUGAUUGACUAAUGGUUAGAUGGUUGAUGCUGCAGUCUGAUGAGGUCUCAGGGGUGUGGCUUCUGCUGAAUUUUCGACACCACCAACUCCUGGAGGGGAGGUGGGAUGGCCGGCAGCGGCAUUCUAUUCGGGGUUGCGUCGAUCUGGUGAUGCUGGAGCACGGCAACGGGAAACAUCACCUCCACCACGACAUUUCAAGUAGCCAAUUUACCUUUCUCCCUAAGGAUUUCUUACUCUGCUGUCAGUAUCACUGGGCAUGGGGUUUAGAUUUUGUUAAUAUCAAAAUCUGGGUACUUACCAGCAAACGAGUUGUUGAUCUAUUUACUUAGUCAAGUUCAUUUCUGCUAUACCCUGCAAAAGUAGUUCAUUGCUGCUAUAUUCUUCCGUCAAGCUUCAGAUUCUAGCCUUGAUUAAAUGGCAAUGAUAUUCUCCAUAACCUACUAUAUCAGAAAUCCUGCUACAAAACAUGAUUUCCAGAAUUGUGUGGUGGAUCUGGUUUAUAUAACAUGGUUUGCCAACCGCUAUGAGCACUGAUUAGUGUGUGGCAGCCGCUUUUUAUGAUUAGAAUGAAGAUUUGAGAUGUACGUGUAGGUCAAAUUUUGCAAAACUAUGGGCCCGCAGUUAGAAAAUUAUAUGUAGGCAAUUUUACGGUUUUCUGAGACUAAGGAUUCAAGAAUGAAUUUGAAUAUAGUUUCAUGGUUUUUUUGCUCACAAGUUUUCUUAUAUUUACUCCUCUUUCUAUGAUAUUGGAGUUUAUAUGCUUACUUAACUGUUCAAAGAUACAUGUUUGUUUAUCGAUUGGAAGUUACUACAUAUAAGCUUGAGUCCAUGUGCACUGACACACUGUUUGGAACAAAAUAGAACAUAUUACAGUCUGGUGGUUAAACUACUCCUUACCCUGGCAUUCUAAUAAUCUGUAAUAAUGAUAGUUGGCAUUGGUCAUGCAAGAUCACUUGCACGAAAUUGAGUACUUCAUUGCUUCUGUUUAUUUUACAUUUUUUUAUUUACUGCGAUUUGCCAAGCAAAAGUACUAGCAUAACGGAAUAUUUGUAUGUGUUGUUUACAAAGUGAACAUAGUCUGAUGGGAAAGCUCCUGAAUCAAUGUCACAUUAGGAAAUAACUGUCUUGAAGGAGUUGAAACGAAUUGAUCACAUCCUCAUGUGUCUUUGCAAGGUGCAACGGAGCCGUCAGACAAAAGGAAGAUGGGGGCACAUGAGAUGUCCUGACCACUGCUUAGUCCCAAGAAUGGGAGUAACAAUGCUUCUAAAGUUCUGCUGCUAUAUUGUACUCGGAAAUUUGCCUUCUGCCCUCCCCUCCACCCUUUCCGGAUAGCUAUAUCCCACCAUCAGCAUUAGAACAAGAGAAAGAGGCAGAUGAUCUAUUGCCACAGAGGCAUUGCUUCCUGCAGUUGACCAUAUUAUUGAUCAAUGGCUAGCAAAAAUACAGAAAUUACAAUGAGAUUGUACCGUGGAUCAAGUAAACUGUGUAAUUUGUGAGCUGGGACGACGACGAUAGAGAAGAAGACAAUGUUGUCUAUUGUGCAUGAGGAUUUGGUACUCAUUUGACAUACGAGUAUAUGUACCUUCAAGCCUGAUUUUCUCGCCUUGCACGUUGUGUCCUUUUAGUUUUUUUUCCGUUGCAACGCACGGGCAUUUUUGCUAUUCUACUUAUGAUAAUUCAGUUUUGGUCUAUACAUGUGUUUGUACCAAGGUCUAAGACCUGGCUGAUGAUAUAUUUUGAAAUAAUGAUUAUUAUCUAUACUUUUUUGGUA